Manis javanica (Malayan pangolin) is the source of this 1636-nucleotide long non-coding RNA. RefSeq lists it as uncharacterized. The record is from RefSeq and is a predicted model, not a curated record. NCBI's taxonomy places the organism in Eukaryota, Metazoa, Chordata, Mammalia, Pholidota, Manidae.
AAUCCUCAGCAGCAGCAGAAUGCAUGUGGGCUGCCAAGGCUAAAAUAUUACUAUCUGGCUCUUUUCAGAAAGGUUUGCCAGCCUUGGUAUUUAUCAGCAAUGGAGGCUGAUGGAGAGGGGCUUAGGGCCAUCGAGGAAGUCGCCCUGUCCUUCCCCAGAGCUCAAAGACCACCCUCCCGGCUCUCAGCCACUUCCUUGGAGCAAGUGACAAAGAGCUAGAAGGAAGUCUGGAGAUCCUUUGCCUAGAGAAACAGCCUCCUUUUACAGAUGGGAAACUGAGGCCCAGAGAAAUGCAAAUGAAGUGACCCCCUGCAACUCUGGGAGGAAAGUGUUCCCAGCCCAGGUGAAUAAACCUAAGAAGCUGAAAUCAGUCAAGGGGGAGAAAACCUUUUAUUUGGAGGCCUGGUUCGCUGCCUUAGCUGCCACUCUUGCUUACACGUUUCUCCAGCUGCGGCUCCCUCUCCCCUGUUUCUCUCCCUUCUGGGUUCCUGCUCACCUCUCCACCCACCCCUUGUAAACACCUAUUGAUAUGGAGAUGGACUAAGGCCAGGCGAGAGAUUCUGGAAAUAUUGCAAUUUUAUCCACACCCACAUCCACUGGAAAUGCCUCACAUGGACCUGGAUCCAAAUUGGCUAUGGUUUAAAGGAAGAGAUGGAGAGAGGGCGAGUUUCUGAUGUCGAUUACACACUUGGGCUGGAAUCUUGGCUCCAUCACUUACUAGGGACAGGUAUAGAGGGAAGAUGCUGUAAUACCCAGGGAGGAGACAGCGCCGCACAAGCCCAGGAGAGGGGCCUGGAGCCCAUGCUCCCCACAUGCCCGGCCCUCAGAAGGAACCCACCCUCCCAACACCUUCCUUCUGGAAUUCCAGCCUCCAGAACUGUGAUGAUACAGCGACAAGGCAGCACCAGACCUCCAAACCUGCAGAAUUCAAAAACCUGUACUUUCAUUGAAACCAUAAUGAGAUGUCACAGCACUCCCACGAGAAGGGUCAAAUAUAUAACCCAAGACACCAAGUGCCAGUGAGGAUGUAGAGCACCUGCAACCCUCAUCCAUCAAUGAGAGUGUGGGAAUACAGAAGGGUAGGCAGCCACUUUGGAAAAAAGUCUGAUGAUUUCUUAUAAAAUUAAACAUCCACUUACCAUACAAUCCAGUAAUCCUGCUAAGUAUUUGCCCAAGAGAGAUGAGAACCCAUGUGUGCACAAAACCUGUAUGCAAAUGUUUAUUGCAGGUUUAUUGUAACUGCCCAAAAUGAAUCCACCCAAAUGUUCUUCAAGGUGAAUGGACAAAUCAUGGUGCCACCAUACAAGGAAUAUUACUCAGCCAUAAAAAAGGAUGAACAAUGAUGGUACAGCAGCGCUGAUGAACCUCAAAGGCAUUAUGCUGAGUGAAAGAAGCUAGACUCUGAAGCCUAAGUGAUUCCAUUUAUACAACAUUCUAGACAAGGCCAAAGGAAAACAGACUGGUGGUUGCUGCGGGCUAGGAUCGGGGGUAAAGACUGACUACACAGAGGGAUUUUCAAGGGUCAUGGAACUGUUGUAUAUCUUGAUUCUGGUGGUAGUUACAUGGCUGAAUGGGUUUGUUAAAACUUGUAGAACUAUAAACUACAAUGGGAGGAUUUUACUGUAGGUAAAUUAUA